This 1299-nucleotide unclassified non-coding RNA is filed under the name Leishmania donovani. RNAcentral describes it as "gene:LdHU3.34.4770(CDS-product:hypothetical_prote in_conserved)". The record is from RNAcentral. Lineage: Eukaryota; Euglenozoa; Kinetoplastea; Trypanosomatida; Trypanosomatidae.
CAGACGCAAACACCACACAAAAGCUUCUUGAAAGGUUUGUGAACCCUGUCUGCGUGUGGAUGCAGGAAAACGCAGUGUCUCACAUUUGUGUGCUUGUGUGUGUGUGUGUCAGAUCGACUAACCGCGGAUGGUUUGUUCCCUCCUGUGGUCUCUUCGACCCGUGAUGAGUUCCACAAAAGAUCAGGGCCGGCGGCCGGUGAUCGCGUCUUACCGGUGCGAUGAGCAUGUCUUUCCCGAGCUCCCCGCGACACAUCCCUUGUCGGUGCGGCGGCGGGAGGUGCAACGCUUCCUGAAGGGUGACGGCACCCUUGGCCGCCGUGCGUGGAACCCUGCUACGAAGGACGAGCUGCAUCCUUUUCCGCAGCCAGCCCUCAACAACACCACUACUUGCUACAACGGCGUCGACGUUGUUGCCACUCACUUCCCCGAGACAGUGAAGGGCACGGCAUUUCUGAAGAUGCAGGAGACAGUGUUGCCGGCGGUGUGGACGCACAACCGUGACCGGGCCUGCGCCUCUACAAAACGUCACACAUAUCGGUGUGAAGCGCUGGAGCGUCAGGAAGUUCCCCUUAGCUUUCUGGCCACUGUCAUUCGCGACGACAACAACCCUGAAAAGAGGCGCCGUCAGGAGGGGUGGUGUGCGAGCACGACGCUGGAGGGGUUCCGCGGCAACCGCCACGCAGCUCCCGCCGCCGAGGGCGUGUUUGACGCUAAGGCCCACCGUGAGCUGAACAAGAUGCUAACGGCAAGGCUUAGCGGGGGAUAUGUGAAGCCGUACAACCGAGUAAAACACCUGAACUCAUCGCUCGAAAAGCAGAAGGAGCUCCAGCAGAAGGCGGCUGCAGAUAGCCUCAUCAACCUCUACGCUUCCCAACCUGGUCCUGCAGCGUUCAAGAUGAGCAACGCUGACGAGUGGUGGGACAUUGAUCCUGUUGCUGUGACAGGCGACAUGAGGAAGCGCAUAGACGAGAUGAAGGCGAAUCCAUACAGCACAAUCUUUCGUAGCACUACCUUCGCGACCACCCCACCCAGGUCAUCGCGUGUAUAAUAGUACAAACUCAACGUCUUCAUGGCAUGCGCCUGGUUCCUAACCGUUUCUCACACCUGUGCUUGCCACAGCACCAAUGUGCGUGCAUGCACGUGUGUGCGUAUUCGUUUGCAUGUUAACCUCUUGAUGUACGUAUGUAUGCUCAUCUCUUUUUCUUCCUGCGUGCGCGAGUGUACGUGCCGGACGCCUCUUUCCUCCAAGGCGGCGCUUGCUCGAAGCACAAGCGUAAAAGAAGGACGAAACGAAACGAG